RNAcentral lists this ribosomal RNA (301 nucleotides) under uncultured bacterium. Its description in RNAcentral is "partial 16S ribosomal RNA". It matches the Rfam family "Bacterial small subunit ribosomal RNA", at positions 509 to 807 of the family's 1533-position model. The record is from RNAcentral.
CAGUCGCCACGGUAAUACGAAGGGGGCUAGCGUUGCUCGGAAUUACUGGGCGUAAAGGGAGCGUAGGCGGAUCGUUUAGUCAGGGGUGAAAUCCCGGGGCUCAACCUCGGAACUGCCUUUGAUACUGGCGAUCUUGAGUAUGGGAGAGGUGUGUGGAACUCCGAGUGUAGAGGUGAAAUUCGUAGAUAUUCGGAAGAACACCAGUGGCGAAGGCGACACACUGGCCCAUUACUGACGCUGAGGCUCGAAAGCGUGGGGAGCAAACGGGAUUAGAUACCCCCGUAGUCCCUGUCUCUUAUAC